This 292-nucleotide ribosomal RNA is filed under the name uncultured bacterium. RNAcentral's name for it is "partial 16S ribosomal RNA". The record is from RNAcentral.
GGACUACUGGGGUUUCUAAUCCUGUUUGCUCCCCACGCUUUCGCGCCUGAGCGUCAGCCGUCGGCCAGGGCACUGCCUUCGCCAUUGGUGUUCUUCCGGAUCUCUACGCAUUUCACCGCUCCACCCGGAGUUCCAUGCCCCUCUCCGACGCUCAAGCCUCCCCGUCUGACUGGACCUCUCCUAGUUAAGCCAGGAGCUUUCACCAGCCACGCGGGAGGCCGCCUGCGCGCCCUUUACGCCCAGUAACUCCGGACAACGCUCGUCUCCUACGUAUUACCGCGGCGGCUGGCAC